CCUACGGGUGGCUGCAGCGGGGAAUAUUGCACAAUGGGCGCAAGCCUGAUGCAGCCAUGCCGCGUGUGUGAAGAAGGCCUUCGGGUUGUAAAGCACUUUCAGCGGGGAGGAAGGCGUUAAGGUUAAUAACCUUGUCGAUUGACGUUACCCGCAGAAGAAGCACCGGCUAACUCCGUGCCAGCAGCCGCGGUAAUACGGAGGGUGCAAGCGUUAAUCGGAAUUACUGGGCGUACAGCGCACGCAGGCGGUCUGUCAAGUCGGAUGUGAAAUCCCCGGGCUCAACCUGGGAACUGCAUUCGAAACUGGCAGGCUAGAGUCUUGUAGAGGGGGGUAGAAUUCCAGGUGUAGCGGUGAAAUGCGUAGAGAUCUGGAGGAAUACCCGUGGCGAAGGCGGCCCCCUGGACAAAGACUGACGCUCAGGUGCGAAAGCGUGGGGAGCAAACAGGAUUAGAUACCCGUGUAGUC
RNAcentral lists this ribosomal RNA (465 nucleotides) under uncultured Klebsiella sp. RNAcentral's name for it is "bacterial SSU rRNA". It matches the Rfam family "Bacterial small subunit ribosomal RNA", at positions 338 to 795 of the family's 1533-position model. Lineage: Bacteria; Pseudomonadati; Pseudomonadota; Gammaproteobacteria; Enterobacterales; Enterobacteriaceae. The record is from RNAcentral.